This 482-nucleotide ribosomal RNA is filed under the name uncultured bacterium. Its description in RNAcentral is "bacterial SSU rRNA". It matches the Rfam family "Bacterial small subunit ribosomal RNA", at positions 21 to 518 of the family's 1533-position model. The record is from RNAcentral.
GGCUUAGGACGAACGCUGGCGGCGUGCUUAACACAUGCAAGUCGAGCGAUGAAGUCCCUUCGGGGACGGAGUUAGCGGCGGACGGGUGAGUAACACGUGGGUAACCUGCCUCAUAGAGGGGAAUAGCCUUCCGAAAGGAAGAUUAAUACCGCAUAAGAUUGUAGUUUCGCAUGAAACAGCAAUUAAAGGAGUAAUCCGCUAUGAGAUGGACCCGCGUCGCAUUAGCUAGUUGGUGAGGUAACGGCUCACCAAGGCGACGAUGCGUAGCCGACCUGAGAGGGUGAUCGGCCACAUUGGGACUGAGACACGGCCCAGACUCCUACGGGAGGCAGCAGUGGGGAAUAUUGCACAAUGGGGGAAACCCUGAUGCAGCAACGCCCGCGUGAGUGAUGACGGUCUUCGGAUUGUAAAGCUCUGUCUUCAGGGACGAUAAUGACGGUACCUGAGGAGGAAGCCACGGCUAACUACGUGCCAGCAGCUGC